This 429-nucleotide ribosomal RNA is filed under the name uncultured archaeon. RNAcentral describes it as "bacterial SSU rRNA". It matches the Rfam family "Archaeal small subunit ribosomal RNA", at positions 474 to 903 of the family's 1478-position model. The record is from RNAcentral.
CACCAGCCCCUCGAGUGGUGGGGAUGAUUAUUUGGCCUAAAGCGUCCGUAGCCGGCCGGGUAAGUUUCCCGUUAAAUUCAGCGACCUAAUCGUUGAGCCGCGGGAGAUACUACUAGGCUAGGAGGCGGGAGAGGUCGACGGUACUUUCGGGGUAGGGGUGAAAUCCUAUAAUCCCGGGAGGACCACCAGUGGCGAAGGCUGUCGACUAGAACGCGCUCGACGGUGAGGGACGAAAGCUGGGGGAGCGAACCGGAUUAGAUACCCGGGUAGUCCCAGCUGUAAACUAUGCGGGCUAGGUGUUGGGGUGGCUACGGGCCACUUCAGUGCCGCAGGAAAGCCAUUAAGCCCGCCGCCUGGGGAGUACGGCCGCAAGGCUGAAACUUAAAGGAAUUGGCGGGGGAGCACCACAAGGCGUGAAGCUUGCGGUUC